This is a non-coding RNA of Arachis ipaensis, 305 nucleotides long. Lineage: Eukaryota; Viridiplantae; Streptophyta; Magnoliopsida; Fabales; Fabaceae. The record is from RefSeq and is a predicted model, not a curated record.
AUACCUCGGACAGAUGCGUGUGUCCAUAAUCUUUGGCAUGCUCCACAGUGAUUGAAUUGUUCACGAAGGUACACUAAAAGAGAAAAGGAGAAAAGCCAAAAUUAGUUCAUUGAGGUUGCAAAACUACAAUCUAAUACUAAUGUUGUCGCACAAUUGCUAUUCUAUAACUUCGUCACAUAAGCAUGGUUUUUUGUAGGUGUCUAUUUUCUGCUUUUAGAAACGGUUCCGUUUAUAUUUAUUUUCCUCACUAAUUACAAUCACCAACUCUCACUAAUUAUCAUCACUAACUACACAUCAUAUAUUAU